RNAcentral lists this ribosomal RNA (465 nucleotides) under Vreelandella stevensii. Its description in RNAcentral is "partial 16S ribosomal RNA". It matches the Rfam family "Bacterial small subunit ribosomal RNA", at positions 338 to 795 of the family's 1533-position model. Lineage: Bacteria; Pseudomonadati; Pseudomonadota; Gammaproteobacteria; Oceanospirillales; Halomonadaceae. The record is from RNAcentral.
CCUACGGGGAGCUGCAGUGGGGAAUAUUGGACAAUGGGCGAAAGCCUGAUCCAGCCAUGCCGCGUGUGUGAAGAAGGCCUUCGGGUUGUAAAGCACUUUCAGUGGGGAAGAAAGCCUUGGGGCUAAUACCCUCGAGGAAGGACAUCACCCACAGAAGAAGCACCGGCUAACUCCGUGCCAGCAGCCGCGGUAAUACGGAGGGUGCGAGCGUUAAUCGGAAUUACUGGGCGUAAAGCGCGCGUAGGCGGUCUGAUAAGCCGGUUGUGAAAGCCCCGGGCUCAACCUGGGAACGGCAUCCGGAACUGUCAGGCUAGAGUGCAGGAGAGGAAGGUAGAAUUCCCGGUGUAGCGGUGAAAUGCGUAGAGAUCCGGAGGAAUACCAGUGGCGAAGGCGGCCUUCUGGACUGACACUGACGCUGAGGUGCGAAAGCGUGGGUAGCAAACAGGAUUAGAUACCCGAGUAGUC